UUCUUUCGGCUUGUCCCUUUUGGGGUCGCCACAGCGUGUCAUCUCAGAUGAACACACAUAUAUGUUUGGCACAAUUUUUACGCCGGAUGUGGUGAUGCGCCUAAUUUGUGAGUUUUUUCUAAUGGCCGCAAGGGGGCACUUGAGUGGAAAAGGUAAGAGUGAGACCGGUGGAAUAUAUGUGCCGAGGAAGUGGCUUUUAGCGGUCCUGUUAGCGCUGUGCUACCGUGUUGCUGCUGUGUUAUUGGCGUGUCUCAGUGAUAUUUACCGAGCGAGCUCCUGGUUGGUUCCUCCUCCGCUGAGCACACUGGAACAAGCCAUGUUCAUCAGAUUCUCCACUAGAAAGGACAACAUGAGGAGGAGGACGAGGGGGAGGAUUAAUGGCCGUCGUGCAAAGGGAGCCAAACCAACUCGGCCUUGUGCGCGUCCAACUGAGCCAAAUUCUGCUGCCGCAACUCGGGAAUUUCCGCUUGGUACUGCUGCCCGAUGUUGAUGCGCCUGCACACCAAAAGGAAGCAAG
This is a long non-coding RNA of Syngnathoides biaculeatus (alligator pipefish), 517 nucleotides long. RefSeq lists it as uncharacterized. Lineage: Eukaryota; Metazoa; Chordata; Actinopteri; Syngnathiformes; Syngnathidae. The transcript is spliced from 3 exons. The record is from RefSeq and is a predicted model, not a curated record.